ACCUGCCCAUCAGCGGGGGAUAACACUUGGAAACAGGUGCUAAUACCGCAUAAUGCUUUUUCUCACAUGAGGGAAAGCUGAAAGGCGCUUUUGCGUCACUGAUGGAUGGACCCGCGGUGCAUUAGCUAGUUGGUAGGGUAACGGCCUACCAAGGCAACGAUGCAUAGCCGACCUGAGAGGGUGAUCGGCCACACUGGGACUGAGACACGGCCCAGACUCCUACGGGAGGCAGCAGUAGGGAAUCUUCGGCAAUGGACGAAAGUCUGACCGAGCAACGCCGCGUGAGUGAAGAAGGUUUUCGGAUCGUAAAACUCUGUUGUUAGAGAAGAACAAGGAUGAGAAGAGAAUGUUCAUCCC
RNAcentral lists this ribosomal RNA (357 nucleotides) under Enterococcus italicus. RNAcentral describes it as "bacterial SSU rRNA". It matches the Rfam family "Bacterial small subunit ribosomal RNA", at positions 124 to 468 of the family's 1533-position model. The record is from RNAcentral. Lineage: Bacteria; Bacillati; Bacillota; Bacilli; Lactobacillales; Enterococcaceae.